RNAcentral lists this ribosomal RNA (449 nucleotides) under uncultured bacterium. RNAcentral's name for it is "partial 16S ribosomal RNA". It matches the Rfam family "Bacterial small subunit ribosomal RNA", at positions 29 to 523 of the family's 1533-position model. The record is from RNAcentral.
AGCGAACGCUGGCGGCAGGCCUAACACAUGCAAGUCGAACGAAGUCUUCGGACUUAGUGGCGGACGGGUGAGUAACACGUGGGAACGUACCUUUUGGUUCGGAAUAACUGAGGGAAACUUCAGCUAAUACCGGAGAAGCUCUUCGGAGGAAAGAUUUAUCGCCAUUAGAGCGGCCCGCGUUGGAUUAGGUAGUUGGUGGGGUAAAGGCGCACCAAGCCUACGAUCCAUAGCUGGUCGGAGAGGAUGAUAAGCCACACUGGGACUGAGACACGGCCCAGACUCCUACAGGAGGCAGCAGUGGGGAAUCUUGCGCAAUGGUCGAAAGACUGACGCAGCCAUGCCGCGUGAAUGAUGAAGGUCUUAGGAUUGUAAAAUUCUUUUAGCAGGGACGAUAAUGACGGUACCUGCAGAAAAAGCCCCGGCUAACUUCGUGCCAGCAGCCGCAGUAA